Molecule: ribosomal RNA, 429 nt
Filed under: Gemmatimonadota bacterium
Lineage: Bacteria; Pseudomonadati; Gemmatimonadota
Description: Gemmatimonadetes bacterium partial 16S ribosomal RNA
Rfam family: Bacterial small subunit ribosomal RNA
Source: RNAcentral
UAGGGAAUCUUCGGCAAUGGACGAAAGUCUGACCGAGCAACGCCGCGUGAGUGAAGAAGGUUUUCGGAUCGUAAAACUCUGUUGUUAGAGAAGAACAAGGACGUUAGUAACUGAACGUCCCCUGACGGUAUCUAACCAGAAAGCCACGGCUAACUACGUGCCAGCAGCCGCGGUAAUACGUAGGUGGCAAGCGUUGUCCGGAUUUAUUGGGCGUAAAGCGAGCGCAGGCGGUUUCUUAAGUCUGAUGUGAAAGCCCCCGGCUCAACCGGGGAGGGUCAUUGGAAACUGGGAGACUUGAGUGCAGAAGAGGGGAGUGGAAUUCCAUGUGGAGCGGUGAAAUGCGUAGAUAUAUGGUGGAACACCAGUGGCGAAGGCGGCUCUCUGGUCUGUAACUGACGCUGAGGCUCGAAAGCGUGGGGAGCAAACAGG